UCAUUUCUCCCAUAGUGGUCGGCCAAACCAGAAAAGAAGAGAAACCAAGGAAGAACAAAUCCUAGGCGGGAAAAAUUAAAGAGAAAGUGUUGGAAUUCAAGGAUUUGAUCAAGCAAAUGUAAAAUUUCUUUGAUUUUGCUAGUGAUUCACCUUACCCAUGCAUUUUUCCUUAAUUUCCAUGGUUGAAAAGCAUGCUUUCAUGGUGAAUUCAUAGCUGGUCAAAAUGGGUAUGGAGAGAGAAUGAUCUUGGAUUGGUUUGAUUUUUAGGUAUGUUAGUAUUUUUAGGUGAUUAAUAAUGUGUAGCAUAAAAACAAGUGAAGAAAACCACCAAAGGUUUGGUGCCCAUCAAUAGCCGAAUUCUCUAAGUGAAUAAUGAGCAAGAAUGUGAUGUUAUUCUAGGUGAUUUGAUUAAGAAAUAAUAGUCUUUGGUGAAUUGAGGGAUUGAAAAAGAAAUGGAGCAAGUUGGAGUGAAAUUGGACGCAUUGGCCAAUUUAUCUGAUGAAAAAUUGACUUAGGCCAAUAUCGGGUCUAGAUGGCUACCCGUGCAUUUUUCAUUUCAUAUCACGCAUAUAUAUCGAGCCUGAAAUAGCUUAUGACUGUUAGACACAAUUUAAUUGAAAUAUGUGCCAUGGAUUAUGGCUAGGUGGUGAGCCAUUAGAUACGGGUAAAGGAUUGUAUCCGGGAACUGAAAAUAGGAGUAUUUCUACUCCUAAUACUGUGAGUGGACAAUUUAUCGUCUUAAAUAUCUAAAGUAAUUAUACUUGUUUGAUGCUUUUAUUGAAUGGUGAGUUUACAUUAUAAAAUAUUAUGUUUUCCAAUUAAAUUUUUUUUUUAAUAAAAAUGAGAUUUAUACUGGUUUUGAAAUCAAAUAUUGUUUUGGGAAAUUUGAGUAUAUGGAGAUUGUGUUGAAUUUAUGAUUUUAUAUGUUAUUGAAAUUGUCGCUUAUGACACUAUGUUAGCAUGAUGGCUAAAUUUUUGGGGUUGGCAUGAAAUAUAUGAACAGUUUUGGAUUGGUCUUGAUAGAUUGGAUUACAUUUUAUUCGCCAUAUUAUGCUACUGAAAAUUUUAUGGGUCUGGUGGUAUAUUAAACGAUCACUGCAAUGGUGAGGGUUUCUAUAGACUGCCUAUGAGAGGGGCACUGUGAAGCCCGACCUUAUAAAUACUUGUCAUGACAUACAUGUGAUGGAUAGUAUGUUUACAUGCUAGGAGAGUCCCGAAAAAUUUACAAAAAGUCGGUAUUGCACCUAGAGGAACAACAAAGUUGAUUUAAACCUCGAACUAGAUCAAAUAGAGAAUUUAGGGUGAAAUUUAAAAUUUUACAGUCAAAGAAUGACUUAAAAUGGUGAUUCAGAGUUCGAUGAUUAAUUUGGAGUCAAACUGAAAUUUUCAAAACCUAGGGGCAAAAUGGUCAUUUUGCCACCUGAGGUUAAGAUGUGAGUGUUGGAUGAAAUUUUUGACUAAGAUUGAUCAAGAUUGACUAUUUAGAACACAAUUUGAUGUUGAUAAGUGAAAAAAAUUGUAAUCUUGGUAUUUUUGGAGCAUAGGGGCAAAAUGGUAAUUUUGUCACUUUAGGGGCAAAAUUGUAAUUUUCCACCACCAGGACAUUUGUCCAGCACAUGGUCUUCCCUUAUCCUCAUUUUGACCUUUGACUAAUCAUGUGGUGGAGAUAAAAGGUUUAAAAUUUUUAAAGUUUUAAAAAUGGAUCAAUAAAAAAAUGACAAGUGUGAAGCUUAGGAUAUUUUAUUAUUUAACUUAAAAAUCAGCAUAAAUCAGCCCAUUAUCCCUCCAAAAAUUUGGUCAAGCAAGGAAGAGAGGGAAAGAAAGGAAGAACAAACCCUAGGUGAAGAAUUUGAAGAGAAAAAAUGUGGAAAAUCAAGGAAAACAAGUGAAAAAGGUAAGAUUUUUCAACUUAAGCUCGAAAUCUAUUUUCCUUAAGCAUUUCUCCUUAUUUUUCAUGCUUAAAUUACAUGUUUUCAUGAUGAAUUCAUGGCUGAGCAAAAUGGGUAAGGAGAGAGAAAGAUGUUGAAUUGAUUUGAUUUUGAGAUAUGUUAGUGUUUUUAGUUAGUUUAGCAUAUUUAGAAACAAAACAACAAGAAAAGAAUUCAUUUUCUCCCACAACCAUCAAUAGCCGAAUUUACCAUGUGUUGAGUGAGGAUGAAUUUGAUUUUUAUUCUAGGAGAAUUGGUUAGAAAAUGAUGAAUUAUGGUGUGAAAAAGUAGUAGGAAAAAUCACGGUGUUAAUGCACCAUUAUUGGCCAAAAAUUUUAAGAAGAAAAGUAUAGACAGUUUUGCCAAAUUUUAGGUUAUUUGAUUUGAGUUUGGUGAAUUAAGAUAUUGGAAAAGAAUUGGAACAAUUUGGAGUAAUUUGGGAUUAAAUCGGACGCGUUAGUAAUUUAAUCGAGUGAUAGGACGAAUUAGGCCAAUACCGAAUUUAGAUAGUUAUCAGUGCAUUUUUGCAUUCCAUACCAUGCAUUAGUAGUCUAAAUUAGUUUAAUUUCAAUUUAGUACCAAUGUAGUAAGUUUCUCGAUUUUGUACUGUGUCAAGGUGGUGAGUCCUCCAAUAAAGGUAAAAAAAUUACACCCGAAGACCAGUAGUCUGAGUAUUUCGAGAAUCUGCACUCUAGACAUUGUGAGUAAACUUAUUGUCAUUUUAAUUAUCUAGGAUGGUUUUUAGAUGAUUUCAUGAAUUCUAUGGAAAAAGGAAUUUAAAAAGGUAAAUUUUCAUGUUUUAUGAAUAAAUAUGUUUCAAUGAAAUUAAUUUAUAAAUUGUUUUGAAAUUAAUAAUGAUGUUGAAAAAUAGAGUACACGGAGACUGUUAAUUGUUGGAAUUCGAUUGUUUAAAUUGAUUGGCUUAUGAUAAAUCGAGCAUGAUUGGCUAGCUGGCAAUUAUAUUGAAAUACGAAUUAUUUGUUUACCUUGAAAGACUGUGAAUAAAAUAAUUGUCAUGUCAUGCUAUUGUAAAUUUUAUUGAAUUGGUGGAUUAUAUAUUAAUUAAUCACUGCAAUAGGGGGUUUCUGUGGACCAGCCUUUUAGAGGGGUAACUAUCGAUCGGAGAGGCGCGUAGGGUAUCUCCUGGGGUAAAGUUUAAGGUUCACUUCACGCUAAACCACCACGUGAGGGUGAACUCAGCCAACGCCAAGGAACGGCUGUGAUGUCCAACGAAAAAUGUGUUUUAUGUGAAAUGUGAAUUUUUAACAGCCUUGGCGAUCUCGGUAGGAUGCCUCGGCCAAGGUGUCCCCGAGGAUGGAUUUAUGGCACAAGCCUAGUUUUUAUGAGAUUCAUAAGCCUCUUUACGUAUUUUGAAUGAAAUGUGUUCUAAUGUUGUGACCCAAUUUACGAUGAUUUAUUUUAUUGUCUCCAUGUACUCAACUCUAGAUGUUUAUGAUGAUGUCUGUUUACUCACUAAGAUUUUAUAAUCUCACCACCCUCCUUUCCAUCCAUUUCAAGCUCAGAUUAGACUGUAGAUAGCUGAUCUCAUCGAGGACUAUUGUGAGAUUUGCAUUCUCUAAACCAUAGGUUCACAGUCCUCUUUACUUUUAGUCAUUCAGGGGUCCACUGGUUAUUGUAAAUUAAAUAUCAUACUCUAGUUAUGUGUACUACUGUAUGUAGAAAUUUAUUUUGCUUUUACGCUGUAAAAAAAUUAUUUACGCAGUGUUUUAAAAA
RNAcentral lists this long non-coding RNA (3662 nucleotides) under Theobroma cacao (cacao). RNAcentral describes it as "long non-coding RNA (TCAC_LNC003542)". The record is from RNAcentral. Lineage: Eukaryota; Viridiplantae; Streptophyta; Magnoliopsida; Malvales; Malvaceae.